This is a non-coding RNA of Triticum aestivum (bread wheat), 94 nucleotides long. Lineage: Eukaryota; Viridiplantae; Streptophyta; Magnoliopsida; Poales; Poaceae. The record is from Rfam.
GAAAUACUCCCUCCGUCUGGAAAUACUUGUCGGAGAAAUGGAUAAAAAUAUAUCCAUUUCUCCGACAAGUAUUUCCGGACGGAGGGAGUAUUAC